This 253-nucleotide ribosomal RNA is filed under the name uncultured bacterium. RNAcentral's name for it is "partial 16S ribosomal RNA". It matches the Rfam family "Bacterial small subunit ribosomal RNA", at positions 524 to 776 of the family's 1533-position model. The record is from RNAcentral.
UACGAAGGGUGCAAGCGUUAUUCGGAGUUAUUGGGCGUAAAGGGUGCGUAGGCGGCAUGUUAAGUCAAUUGUUAAAUACCUCAGCUUAACUGGGGAAAGGCGGUUGAUACUGGCGUGCUUGAGGAUGGAAGAGAGAAGUGGAAUUCUCGGAGUAGCGGUAAAAUGCGUAGAUCUCGAGAGGAACACCAAUGGCGAAGGCAGCUUCUUGGUCCAUUCCUGACGCUGAGGCACGAAAGCGUGGGGAGCAAACAGG